RNAcentral lists this ribosomal RNA (1299 nucleotides) under Rosellinia sanctae-cruciana. Its description in RNAcentral is "partial large subunit ribosomal RNA". It matches the Rfam family "Eukaryotic large subunit ribosomal RNA", at positions 81 to 1405 of the family's 3401-position model. The record is from RNAcentral. Lineage: Eukaryota; Fungi; Ascomycota; Sordariomycetes; Xylariales; Xylariaceae.
UAGUAACGGCGAGUGAAGCGGCAACAGCUCAAAUUUGAAAUCUGGCCCUCGGGUCCGAGUUGUAAUUUGUAGAGGAUGCUUUUGGCGCGGUGCCUUCCGAGUUCCCUGGAACGGGACGCCUUAGAGGGUGAGAGCCCCGUACGGUUGGACACCAAGCCUCUGUAAAGCUCCUUCGACGAGUCGAGUAGUUUGGGAAUGCUGCUCUAAAUGGGAGGUAAAUUUCUUCUAAAGCUAAAUAUUGGCCAGAGACCGAUAGCGCACAAGUAGAGUGAUCGAAAGAUGAAAAGCACUUUGAAAAGAGGGUUAAAUAGCACGUGAAAUUGUUGAAAGGGAAGCGUUUGCGACCAGACCUCCUCCUGGCGGAUCAUCCGGUGUUCUCACCGGUGCACUUCGCCAGGUCGAGGCCAGCAUCGGUUUCCGCAGGGGGAUAAAAGCUCUGGGAACGUAGCUCCUCCGGGAGUGUUAUAGCCCUCUGCACAAUACCCUUGCGGGGACCGAGGACCGCGCUUUAUGCAAGGAUGCUGGCGUAAUGGUCGUCAACGACCCGUCUUGAAACACGGACCAAGGAGUCGAACAUUUAUGCGAGUGUUUGGGUGUCAAACCCUCACGCGUAAUGAAGGUGAACGUAGGUGAGAGCCCUUACGGGUGCAUCAUCGACCGAUCCUGAUGUCUUCGGAUGGAUUUGAGUAAGAGCAUAGCUGUUCGGACCCGAAAGAUGGUGAACUAUGCGUGGAUAGGGUGAAGCCAGAGGAAACUCUGGUGGAGGCUCGCAGCGGUUCUGACGUGCAAAUCGAUCGUCAAAUCUGCGCAUGGGGGCGAAAGACUUAUCGAACCAUCUAGUAGCUGGUUACCGCCGAAGUUUCCCUCAGGAUAGCAGUGUUGUUCUUCAGUUUUAUGAGGUAAAGCGAAUGAUUAGGGACCCGGGGGCGCUUUUUAGCCUUCAUCCAUUCUCAAACUUUAAAUAUGUAAGAAGCCCUUGUUACUUAGUUGAACGUGGGCAUUCGAAUGUACCAACACUAGUGGGCCAUUUUUGGUAAGCAGAACUGGCGAUGCGGGAUGAACCGAACGCGGGGUUAAGGUGCCGGAGUGGACGCUCAUCAGACACCACAAAAGGUGUUAGCACAUUUAGACAAUAGGACGGUGGCCAUGGAAGUCGGAAUCCGCUAAGGACUGUGUAACAACUCACCUAUCGAAUGUGCUAGCCCUGAAAAUGGAUGGCGCUCAAGCGUCCCACCCAUACCUCGCCCUCAGGGUAGAAACGAUGCCCUGAGGAGUAGGCGGCCGUGGAGGUCAGUGACG